GGGUGGGGGGAAAAUAAAGUAGGUGCUGCUUGAAAUACCCGAGUGUGUUUGCCUUGACAGACCCCUGGCAGCAAAACGGUUGACAACUUCUGAAUAAUGGUAAAAGGGAGAGGAACCUGCUCUUUAAGAACCUCAAACAACUACAGGGAGGGUGUGAUGACAAAAGCCAGUUUGUGCUGCCCCUCACAGUCUGAUACAAGCAAAAGGCAACACCGUGUCGAGGAGAGUCCCUGUUUGGCUGCCCAGCAAAGCCAAGGUGUCUCGUUGGGAUGCUGGGCAGGGGGCACCCACCUUCCAGCCCCUGCCCCAUUGCCUCGGUGCUGGGGACAACGCACCCAGCACGUGGGUGAAGAACCCUGGCCGUGGGCUGGGGGAGAGGAGACCAGAUUCAUCCUUCCUGUAGCAGCGUUUGGACCGGCAUCAUUUGUGCAUGCUUGAGGGCUGCUGCCACCACAAAAGCAGGGACUGGACACACCGAUUCUGAGAUGGUGGGGACCCUUUGCUGGGUCUAACUGGUUUCCCGCCUGCCCUUCCAGCCUUGGCCACUUCAGCCUGCUCCCACCUCCAGCGGCCCCUCAGCAACUCCUGAGGAAAACUGCUGAGUAUUUGGGUUUAGGGUUGGGUUUUGUGGGUGUUUUUUUUUCCCCAUGUGGAUAAAUUCAAGCAUUCAGUUUCCAGCGAGCUUCACCAGGAGCAGCUCCGGCACUCCUGGAGGGACAGGGGAAGGGAACAGGGAUACAGGAGAGAAAAAGAGUGACUGGAGGCAAGAAACAUCCCCAGCUGGUUCCCCUGCCUCUAUAGACAUGUGGGAUUGUACCUAAACUGGUUUAAAAUAACGUAGCAGCCCUGGGGAGCUGCAGAGGGAGUCACCCCAGUGUUUGCUGGGUUUCACGAGUGGGCUCUGCAGCCUGCCCUGGUACGUGGUAUGUCAGUGCCGUGAGAUACCUGGAAAACAAGUUUAACUCCAGCCUGUCCGUGCUCCCGGUGAGCUCUGGUCCGUGCAGACAGGCAGCAGAGUGUAAUUAUGGACUAGCCAGGUCCGGAGCUAAACCCUGCCUCAGGGGGGCCUUUCUUCCACUGUCCCUCUUACAGUUGCAUCUGGGGCCCGUUGACUUCAACCUGCUGGUCUGCUUCAUGCCCAGUGGCCAGUGAACACAGGUAUUUCCUGCCCUUUGGCUGGGCUAGCGAGGUGCCAGCCUCCAGCCGGUGAGUGCCGGUGGCCACCACAGGGCGAAGCCCAUCCUGAAAUGCUGGCGAUGGGGAGGUUCAUGCCAGGAGGUGGUGGUGGAACUCAGUGUUGGUGUUAAUGCCCAUCACCCUCAAUCGCUGAGCCUCCACUCUCCCCCAGGAAAAUCGCCCUUCCCACUGAAAUCCCUGAUGAUGCUGUAAUUACGGAAUCUGCUACGUGCAGAUAUUUUUAAUGCAGCUGAGUAAAUGU
Molecule: long non-coding RNA, 1438 nt
Filed under: Calidris pugnax (ruff)
Lineage: Eukaryota; Metazoa; Chordata; Aves; Charadriiformes; Scolopacidae
Description: lncRNA (ENSCPUG00000013920.1)
Source: RNAcentral